GGGCAUCUGGUGUAGUUGGUUAUCACGCUCGCUUAGCAUUUUCUCUCUGAAGUUGUCUGCGAGAGGUGAGCGGUUCAAUUCCGCUGUUGUCCA
Non-coding RNA from Mycena amicta, 93 nucleotides. The record is from the annotation of a GenBank genome assembly. Lineage: Eukaryota; Fungi; Basidiomycota; Agaricomycetes; Agaricales; Mycenaceae.